This 498-nucleotide ribosomal RNA is filed under the name uncultured bacterium. Its description in RNAcentral is "partial 16S ribosomal RNA". It matches the Rfam family "Bacterial small subunit ribosomal RNA", at positions 30 to 523 of the family's 1533-position model. The record is from RNAcentral.
AUUGAACGCUGGCGGCAGGCCUAACACAUGCAAGUCGAGCGGUUGAGGUAGCUUGCUACCGAUGCAGCGGCGAACGGGUGAGUAAUACAUGGGAAUCUGCCUGGUAGUGGGGGACAACGUCUCGAAAGGGACGCUAAUACCGCAUACGCCCUACGGGGGAAAGGGGGGGAUCUUCGGACCUCUCGCUAUCAGAUGAGCCCAUGUCAGAUUAGCUAGUUGGUAGGGUAAAGGCCUACCAAGGCGACGAUCUGUAACUGGUCUGAGAGGAUGAUCAGUCACACUGGAACUGAGACACGGUCCAGACUCCUACGGGAGGCAGCAGUGGGGAAUAUUGGACAAUGGGCGCAAGCCUGAUCCAGCCAUGCCGCGUGUGUGAAGAAGGCCUUAGGGUUGUAAAGCACUUUCAGUGGGGAGAAAGGUAAUUCACUUAAUACGUGAGUUAAUUGAUGUUACCCACAGAAGAAGCACCGGCUAACUCCGUGCCAGCCGCCGCAGUAA